GAUUAACGCUAGCGGCAGGCCUAAUACAUGCAAGUCGCACGGGAUUUCGGGUAGCAAUAUCUGAAUGAGAGUGGCGCACGGGUGCGUAACACGUAUGCAAUCUACCUUUAACUGGGGAAUAGCUCACCGAAAGGUGAAUUAAUACCGCAUAAAAUCACAGAAGGACAUCCUUCAAUGAUUAAACCUACGGGGGUUAAGAUGAGCAUGCGUCCGAUUAGCUAGUUGGCGGGGUAAUAGCCCACCAAGGCAACGAUCGGUAGGGGGUCUGAGAGGAUGAU
Molecule: ribosomal RNA, 278 nt
Filed under: uncultured bacterium
Lineage: Bacteria
Description: partial 16S ribosomal RNA
Rfam family: Bacterial small subunit ribosomal RNA
Source: RNAcentral